CCCACGCAAAACCCCGCAAAACUUGCCAGCUCCAGAAAGAAGAAACAAAAAAAGACGGCUCCUUUGUACGAUUGGGG
Molecule: non-coding RNA, 77 nt
Filed under: Pseudo-nitzschia fraudulenta
Lineage: Eukaryota; Bacillariophyta; Bacillariophyceae; Bacillariales; Bacillariaceae
Source: RNAcentral